CCCUAGUACGGCGAGUGAGCGGGAACAGCUCAAUUUUAAACCUGACUGCGUUUGCAGUCCGAGUUGUAUUUUGAAGGAGUCUGUCGCCUAUGGAACGAUGGCACAAGUCCUCUGGAACGAGGCAUCAUAGAGGGUGAGAAUCCCGUCUCUGGCCUUUGUUUCUUGGCACACGGCAGGCAUCCGAAGAGUCGAGUUGUUUGGGAUUGCAGCUCCAAAUGGGUGUAAACUCCAUCUAAGGCUAAAUAUUGGCGAGAGACCGAUAGCGAACAAGUACCGUGAGGGAAAGAUGAAAAGAACUUUGAAAAGAGAGUAAAACAGUACGUGAAAUUGUUGAAAGGGAAACGCUUGAAGUCAGUCGUGCCGGCGGGGAUUCAGCAAACUCCACGGAGUGAGCGUAUUUCUUCGCAUGGCAGGUCAGCGUCAGUUUCGCGCGUCGUGAAAUGGUUCUGGUAAGGUGACUCUCUUCGGGGAGUGUUAUAGACCGGAGCAGAUGCGGGGGCGCGAGACUGAGGAUUGCAGCGGACACCCUUCGG
RNAcentral lists this ribosomal RNA (533 nucleotides) under Paraglomus pernambucanum. RNAcentral describes it as "LSU rRNA". It matches the Rfam family "Eukaryotic large subunit ribosomal RNA", at positions 78 to 614 of the family's 3401-position model. The record is from RNAcentral. Lineage: Eukaryota; Fungi; Glomeromycota; Glomeromycetes; Paraglomerales; Paraglomeraceae.